RNAcentral lists this ribosomal RNA (265 nucleotides) under uncultured prokaryote. Its description in RNAcentral is "partial 16S ribosomal RNA". It matches the Rfam family "Bacterial small subunit ribosomal RNA", at positions 524 to 788 of the family's 1533-position model. The record is from RNAcentral.
GACGUAGGUGGCGAGCGUUGUCCGGAUUUACUGGGCGUAAAGGGAGCGUAGGCGGACUUUUAAGUGAGAUGUGAAAUACCCGGGCUCAACUUGGGUGCUGCAUUUCAAACUGGAAGUCUAGAGUGCAGGAGAGGAGAAUGGAAUUCCUAGUGUAGCGGUGAAAUGCGUAGAGAUUAGGAAGAACACCAGUGGCGAAGGCGAUUCUCUGGACUGUAACUGACGCUGAGGCUCGAAAGCGUGGGGAGCAAACAGGAUUAGAUACCCG